GGGCCUUCAACAUGUAGAAGCUAGGGAAAGGACCUUCAACAUGUAGAAGCUAGGGAAAGGGUCUUCAACAUGUAGAAGCUAGGGAAAGGGCCUUCAACAUGUAGAGACUAGGGAAAGGACCUUCAACAUAAGGGGACAAGCCUUUGAACAUUGUUUGUAAAUCUGAGGAUUGUCAUUAUAUGAAAACUACUUCAUAAGUAGAGUUUGAAUGAAUCUCAAAAUGGCACUGAUUAUUUUAUACACCUAAUGAAGAAAAUGUUGGAUCGGAUGAUAUAUUUUUCUACACUUUCUUUUUGUUUUAAAUGUUGUCUUUAAUCGUGUGUGUUGAUAAACCGGUUUAGAGAAGGUCCAUGUGUUAUAACGUUUUAAACCAUUUGUCUUUUUGUGAUUUUAAUAAAACGUCUCUGCCCUCA
Molecule: long non-coding RNA, 413 nt
Organism: Oncorhynchus keta (chum salmon)
Lineage: Eukaryota; Metazoa; Chordata; Actinopteri; Salmoniformes; Salmonidae
Exons: 2
Source: RefSeq, a predicted model, not a curated record